Molecule: long non-coding RNA, 262 nt
Filed under: Linum usitatissimum (flax)
Lineage: Eukaryota; Viridiplantae; Streptophyta; Magnoliopsida; Malpighiales; Linaceae
Description: long non-coding RNA (LUSI_LNC000661)
Source: RNAcentral
CUCCGCACCGCAGCCGUCGAACAAAAAUCGCCGUUGUCGCCACAGCUCUCGAAUCCCAGGCUCUCCGUGCAUGACGUCAGUCCAUCGACGCCGAGGUCGAUGAAUUUAUCUGCCAUCGGCUGCGAGUGGGGCUUCACGAUGGAUGCCGAUUCGACGACAUUGGGUGGACGGUGGACGGGGAAAUCUCCGGCGGGAGUUAUCAACCCUAAGCCUUUGUUGGGUGAAGGGGAAAGAGGGAGGUGGUCGGACUCCGGCGGUGGCG